UUGAGCACGCCACCCCGAAAUCAAUGUGAAAUACCCUGCCAUUUGCAACAGUAGGCAACCUGUCCUUUAAAAGUAUGGGUCCUCAAAACAGCACUUGUUGCACAAAUAAGUGUAGAUGGCCUCUUCAAGAAAUUGAAAUUAUGUAUGGUCACUUUUUCUUAUUGUUUCACGUGGAGGUCUACUGACCUUGUCUAAAUAAUGUAGGCUAGUUUAUGUCCAUGUAUUAUAUUAGGACCCAAGGUUAAUGGGUUAUUCUAUUUACCAUGUUUUUACAGGCUGCUGUCUCAUAUGGCGAAGACGAGUCACCUGAAGGCCUAACUCGCCAUAGAAGACUGAAAGAAUUGUCCUGCAGGAUGCUGUGUCCUGCAAUCCUGUGUGCUGUGCUACAGACGCGUGUGGAGGUCAACCCAAAAUGGGCUCAGUCUCACCACAGAAGAGUGAAAGAGGAUCCUGGCAGGGAGACGGUAGUGUCCUGCAGAAUGGUGAUGGGCCAAUCUUACAAGAGACCACAGAAAACUGAUAUAGUGAACUAUAGAAACAACAGUGCCUGCUGCAGUAUAACGAGGACACCCUGAGCAGAGGGCUCCAAUAGACCCAGGUCCAGUGUCUUGGCAGGGUGAAAUGGCACUGAUAUGGUGUCCUGCAGGAUGCUGUGCCCUGCAAUCCUGUGUGCUGUGCUACAGACGCGUGUGGAGGUCAACCCAAAAUGGGCACAGUCUCACCACAGAAGAGUGAAAGAGGCUCCCAGAAGUGAGACUGAGUGCCUGUUGCAGUAUGACGAGGACGCAGUGACCAGAGACCUUCAGUAGACCCUGCUGGCAUGAUUGGCGUCUGAAGAACAUGAAAUCAACAGCAAUGUUUAUAAUGUUGUACAUACCUGUAUAGUCUGUAUUAAAAGGCAGUACCUGUA
Molecule: long non-coding RNA, 910 nt
Organism: Engraulis encrasicolus (European anchovy)
Lineage: Eukaryota; Metazoa; Chordata; Actinopteri; Clupeiformes; Engraulidae
Exons: 6
Source: RefSeq, a predicted model, not a curated record